Molecule: ribosomal RNA, 465 nt
Filed under: Vreelandella stevensii
Lineage: Bacteria; Pseudomonadati; Pseudomonadota; Gammaproteobacteria; Oceanospirillales; Halomonadaceae
Description: partial 16S ribosomal RNA
Rfam family: Bacterial small subunit ribosomal RNA
Source: RNAcentral
CCUACGGGGUGCAGCAGUGGGGAAUAUUGGACAAUGGGCGAAAGCCUGAUCCAGCCAUGCCGCGUGUGUGAAGAAGGCCUUCGGGUUGUAAAGCACUUUCAGUGGGGAAGAAAGCCUUGGGGCUAAUACCCUCGAGGAAGGACAUCACCCACAGAAGAAGCACCGGCUAACUCCGUGCCAGCAGCCGCGGUAAUACGGAGGGUGCGAGCGUUAAUCGGAAUUACUGGGCGUAAAGCGCGCGUAGGCGGUCUGAUAAGCCGGUUGUGAAAGCCCCGGGCUCAACCUGGGAACGGCAUCCGGAACUGUCAGGCUAGAGUGCAGGAGAGGAAGGUAGAAUUCCCGGUGUAGCGGUGAAAUGCGUAGAGAUCGGGAGGGAUACCAGUGGCGAAGGCGGCCUUCUGGACUGACACUGACGCUGAGGUGCGAAAGCGUGGGUAGCAAACAGGAUUAGAUACCCGAGUAGUC